Molecule: long non-coding RNA, 385 nt
Organism: Vidua chalybeata
Lineage: Eukaryota; Metazoa; Chordata; Aves; Passeriformes; Viduidae
Exons: 3
Source: RefSeq, a predicted model, not a curated record
UUUCCUUAGUGAUCUCUCCUGGUCCCUCACCCCAUGUUCUCCACUCAUCAGACCCACUGGUGAUUAGAUGCUCAGCAGAAGUGAUUACGCAGCCUUUGACACCUUGCAUCCCCUGCUGCCUGGAUUUCAAAGAGAAAAGCAACUUCUGGAUUACCUCAAAUGCACUGGCAACAUAAGUAGCAACAGACUUCCAGAUGAAGAAGCUUGUGUGGAACAUGUUAAAUGAAAUCCUCAGAAAUGUAGAACACAGAAGAGGUCAGCAAAGGCAAAGCAGUGCUGUUGCCCUGCCUCACAAGGAGCUGAGAGAUGGAGUGGCAUUCCCGUGGCUGUAUCUGUGUCCUGGCUCUGACUGAGGCAAUGGCUUCAAUGUGGGUUAGUCCAGCUA